This 250-nucleotide small RNA is filed under the name Arabidopsis thaliana (thale cress). RNAcentral's name for it is "ATSL258790". The record is from RNAcentral. Lineage: Eukaryota; Viridiplantae; Streptophyta; Magnoliopsida; Brassicales; Brassicaceae.
UGUUCCAAACAUUGCAAGGAUUAUAUGUAUAUAUAUAUAGAAAAUAGAUUGUAUAUAAUAAACAAACAAAACUAUCGAAGGUAGUUAGCUCAAUUGGUAAAGAUCCUACGCGAAGCUUAAAGGUCAUCGGUUCGAAUAACGUUUGAGACAAAAUUAAUAUUACAUACUGUGAUUUUGGGCUUGGGAAGAUUACGAGUUUCGGUUCUAGAAAGAUUAUAGGUUUCGCUCCAAAACCUCUUAAUAUUAAAAA